RNAcentral lists this ribosomal RNA (420 nucleotides) under uncultured bacterium. RNAcentral describes it as "bacterial SSU rRNA". It matches the Rfam family "Bacterial small subunit ribosomal RNA", at positions 356 to 773 of the family's 1533-position model. The record is from RNAcentral.
GAGGAAUAUUGGUCAAUGGACGCAAGUCUGAACCAGCCAUGCCGCGUGCAGGAAGACGGCUCUAUGAGUUGUAAACUGCUUUUGUACUAGGGUAAACGCUUCUACGUGUAGGAGCCUGAAAGUAUAGUACGAAUAAGGAUCGGCUAACUCCGUGCCAGCAGCCGCGGUAAUACGGAGGAUCCAAGCGUUAUCCGGAUUUAUUGGGUUUAAAGGGUGCGUAGGCGGUUUGAUAAGUUAGAGGUGAAAUACCGGGGCUCAACUCCGGAACUGCCUCUAAUACUGUUGAACUAGAGAGUAGUUGCGGUAGGCGGAAUGUAUGGUGUAGCGGUGAAAUGCUUAGAGAUCAUACAGAACACCGAUUGCGAAGGCAGCUUACCAAACUAUAUCUGACGUUGAGGCACGAAAGCGUGGGGAGCAAAC